GGACGAACGCUGGCGGCGUGCCUAACACAUGCAAGUCGAGCGAGGAGAUCCUUCGGGAUGAUCCUAGCGGCGGACGGGUGAGUAACACGUGGGCAACCUGCCUCAUAGAGAGGAAUAGCCUUCCGAAAGGGAGAUUAAUACCUCAUAACAUUGCAGUUUCGCAUGGAACAGCAAUUAAAGGAGCAAUCCGCUAUGAGAUGGGCCCGCGGCGCAUUAGCUAGUUGGUGAGGUAACGGCUCACCAAGGCGACGAUGCGUAGCCGACCUGAGAGGGUGAUCGGCCACAUUGGGACUGAGACACGGCCCAGACUCCUACGGGAGGCAGCAGUGGGGAAUAUUGCACAAUGGGGGAAACCCUGAUGCAAGCAACGCCGCGUGAGUGAUGACGGCCUUCGGGUUGUAAAGCUCUGUCUUCAGGGACGAUAAUGACGGUACCUGAGGAGGAAGCCACGGCUAACUACGUGCCAGCAGCCGC
Molecule: ribosomal RNA, 474 nt
Filed under: uncultured bacterium
Lineage: Bacteria
Description: bacterial SSU rRNA
Rfam family: Bacterial small subunit ribosomal RNA
Source: RNAcentral